This 235-nucleotide long non-coding RNA is filed under the name Lathyrus oleraceus (garden pea). RNAcentral's name for it is "Pisum sativum (pea) long non-coding RNA (PSAT_LNC010419)". Lineage: Eukaryota; Viridiplantae; Streptophyta; Magnoliopsida; Fabales; Fabaceae. The record is from RNAcentral.
CCAAUUUAAAAGAAAAACAAUGUUCAUUGCCUUUUCUUAAGGAUUUGAGAGCAUGUAAAAGCAAGGAUAUGUCAAAAUCAAAAGAUGGGGAGAAAAAUAAAAAGUAAAUGUUUUGAAAAAUAAAAUUCAAGUAGUAUUGGCGUAAUGAAAGAAAAAGAAAAUUCUUUGAUAUAAAACAAAUUAAAAAAUAAAAAUUUAAGCAUAUAAAAAUACAAAAAGCACCAAAAGGAAAUGG